UUGCUUGGACAGCACAUAUACUAAAACUAGAGUUGUACACGGAAGAUUAGUGUGGCCCCUGUGCAAGGAUGACACACGAAUUGGUGAAGUGUUCCAUAUUAAA
This is a small nuclear RNA of Nomascus leucogenys (northern white-cheeked gibbon), 103 nucleotides long. The record is from Ensembl. NCBI's taxonomy places the organism in Eukaryota, Metazoa, Chordata, Mammalia, Primates, Hylobatidae.